GCGUACAAAGAAUGCGGAAGAAAAUCUCUCACCGACCAAAACUCAUUCUUAUGCGCCUCCCUUUUCCCCCUGUUUUCACCUAACGCCUCUCCCAACACCCAAGCACAGAGGGACGGAGGCAGAGAUCGAACGCUGUUGCUUCACCGUUGAUCGCCAUAACUUAGCAUUUUCAGACUAUUCUCAAGAUAACCAUACAACAUUAUAUGGAUAAUAGACCACAGUCAGAGGAGGCUUUAGUAGAGCGUGCGAGAGAAUACCUUAUCGCCAUCUCUGAUUGUGUGCCUGAAAGCAAUUCAUGCUUAAUUGAACCUGAAAUCCCAAAAGGUGAGAACAACAUCGCGUUUGAGAAUAAAGUUGAGAAGGUCGUCGAUGAAUUGAGAUCCAAAUUGAUAUCUAUCGCUUCCCAUGUCCCAUCCAUGGAUUGUGCCGAUAACAAGAACAAUGGCAAUGACAAUGGCGAGGUUUAAGACAUCCAUCAUUUCGACACAUUGGUGCUAAUAUCAGACCUAAUACUUUGAUCAUAUAAAUAUGGGCGGUGAUUAUAAAUAAUUUUAUUGUUUAUGGUAUUUUUCAUAAUGUCGAAAACGUAAAUUUGGUCUAAAUAUAGAUUAAAAAGGACGAAAUCAAUCUCUAAGGACUAGGGAUGGAAAUAUAUGUACAUCAUUUUUCCUACAUUUUAAUGAUGCUAUGAACAUAAAAAACAAAAUAUUUCUAUUUACGUAUAUUCGACUUUAAUACC
Molecule: long non-coding RNA, 739 nt
Organism: Cynara cardunculus var. scolymus (artichoke)
Lineage: Eukaryota; Viridiplantae; Streptophyta; Magnoliopsida; Asterales; Asteraceae
Exons: 2
Source: RefSeq, a predicted model, not a curated record